This 200-nucleotide ribosomal RNA is filed under the name uncultured bacterium. Its description in RNAcentral is "partial 16S ribosomal RNA". It matches the Rfam family "Bacterial small subunit ribosomal RNA", at positions 30 to 224 of the family's 1533-position model. The record is from RNAcentral.
AUUGAACGCUGGCGGCAGGCCUAACACAUGCAAGUCGAACGGUAACAGGAAGCAGCUUGCUGCUUUGCUGACGAGUGGCGGACGGGUGAGUAAUGUCUGGGAAACUGCCUGAUGGAGGGGGAUAACUACUGGAAACGGUAGCUAAUACCGCAUAACGUCGCAAGACCAAAGAGGGGGACCUUCGGGCCUCUUGCCAUCGG